UUACGGGAGGCAGCAGUAGGGAAUUUUCGGCAAUGGGGGAAACCCUGACCGAGCAAUGCCGCGUGAAUGACGAAGGUCUUCGGACUGUAAAAUUCUGUUAUAGAGGAAGAAAGAUAUGGCUAGGAAAUGAGCUGUAUUUGACGGUACUUUAUGAGUAAGCCCCGGCUAACUAUGUGCCAGCAGCCGCGGUAAUACAUAGGGGGCGAGCGUUAUCCGGAUUUAUUGGGCGUAAAGCGUGCGUAGGCGGCUGAUUAAGUCUGGUGUGAAAUUUCUCGGCUUAACCGAGAAGGGUCAUUGGAAACUGGUCAGCUUGAAUGCAGGAGAGGUAAGUGGAAUUCCAUGUGUAGCGGUAAAAUGCUUAGAUAUAUGGAGGAACACCAGUGGCGAAGGCGGCUUACUGGCCUGAGAUUGACGCUGAUGCACGAAAGCGUGGGUAGCAAACAGGAUUAGAUACCCCGGUAGA
This 463-nucleotide ribosomal RNA is filed under the name uncultured bacterium. RNAcentral describes it as "bacterial SSU rRNA". It matches the Rfam family "Bacterial small subunit ribosomal RNA", at positions 339 to 794 of the family's 1533-position model. The record is from RNAcentral.